This is a long non-coding RNA of Megalobrama amblycephala (Wuchang bream), 759 nucleotides long. RefSeq lists it as uncharacterized. The transcript has 3 exons. The record is from RefSeq and is a predicted model, not a curated record. Lineage: Eukaryota; Metazoa; Chordata; Actinopteri; Cypriniformes; Xenocyprididae.
AGUCCUCAAGCAGUCUCUGUCAGAUUCGCGCGCUUUAUCAGUUAGAGGUGUGGAGAGCUGUGCAGACGCGCGCGAUGAGGGCUGGUUGGUUAACCUGCCAUUGAUAUGCAAAUAUAAUUAAGUGAAGUUACACACGAAGAUAAAAGUAAUAUUUGAAGCUCGGCAUCAUCGCAAUCUAUAAACGUCAGUUUGGAGGCGGAUAUCCGAUUCCACAUCAACACUCUCGGCUAUAAGACAAUUUGUGAACACGAGCCCAGAUGCCGAAGCCUGUCUCCUCCAGCUCGAACCUCCCUUCGGUGCCAGCUCUCUUCUCCCAGCAUAUUUUUUUCUCAGUUGGAUCACAGCAGUGCAGCGAGGACUAAAAAAAUCGAAAGUAAAGACCACGUCAUGGUGAACUCCAACCCUGUAAUGAGAACCAGUGAGGAACCCAGAUGAAACAGGACUGCUGUCCUCUCCACUCAUUCUACUUGUUAUCAUAUCCCAGGAGUUGACAUGGCACAGUGUGCAGCCAGGUUUGAAACAUGACACCCUCAUCGAACCCCUGGAGUCCCGUGGGAGCCCCUCAGACAGACUUACUCAAGCUUCAGAGAUGAAAAUCAAUAAACAAUCUGAAGUUCUCAGAAAACAUUUGUUUCUGUAGUUUAAUGAAUAUACAAGCUCAGUGUUUCCAAAGAUCUGAAGAUUUAAGUGUUUGCUCUCCACCGUUUGUUUACCUUUUUAAAAUAUUUAUAUUUAAUAAUAUGUGAUAUGUGAGUAAGC